This 1322-nucleotide ribosomal RNA is filed under the name metagenome. RNAcentral's name for it is "bacterial SSU rRNA". It matches the Rfam family "Bacterial small subunit ribosomal RNA", at positions 11 to 1330 of the family's 1533-position model. The record is from RNAcentral.
GUUUGAUCCUGGCUCAGAUUGAACGCUGGCGGCAUGCCUUACACAUGCAAGUCGAACGGUAACGGGCCUUCGGGUGCCGACGAGUGGCGAACGGGUGAGUAAUGUAUCGGAACGUACCUUUCAGUGGGGGAUAACGUAGCGAAAGUUACGCUAAUACCGCAUAUUCUGUGAGCAGGAAGGCAGGGGAUCGCAAGACCUUGCGCUGAUUGAGCGGCCGAUAUCAGAUUAGCUAGUUGGUGAGGUAAAGGCUCACCAAGGCGACGAUCUGUAGCGGGUCUGAGAGGAUGAUCCGCCACACUGGAACUGAGACACGGUCCAGACUCCUACGGGAGGCAGCAGUGGGGAAUUUUGGACAAUGGGGGCAACCCUGAUCCAGCCAUGCCGCGUGAGUGAAGAAGGCCUUCGGGUUGUAAAGCUCUUUCGGCCGGGAAGAAAUCGUAUGGGUUAAUACCCUGUGCGGAUGACGGUACCGGCAUAAGAAGCACCGGCUAACUACGUGCCAGCAGUCGCGGUAAUACGUAGGGUGCGAGCGUUAAUCGGAAUUACUGGGCGUAAAGCGUGCGCAGGCGGUUUUGUAAGACAGGCGUGAAAUCCCCGGGCUCAACCUGGGAACUGCGCUUGUGACUGCUAGGCUAGAGUACGGCAGAGGGGGGUGGAAUUCCACGUGUAGCAGUGAAAUGCGUAGAGAUGUGGAGGAACACCAAUGGCGAAGGCAGCCCCCUGGGUCGAUACUGACGCUCAUGCACGAAAGCGUGGGUAGCAAACAGGAUUAGAUACCCUGGUAGUCCACGCCCUAAACGAUGUCAACUAGGUGUUGGGUGGGUAAAACCAUUUAGUACCGGAGCUAACGCGUGAAGUUGACCGCCUGGGGAGUACGGCCGCAAGGUUAAAACUCAAAGGAAUUGACGGGGACCCGCACAAGCGGUGGAUGAUGUGGAUUAAUUCGAUGCAACGCGAAAAACCUUACCUACCCUUGACAUGUCCAGGAGCCUGAAGAGAUUUGGGUGUGCCCGAAAGGGAACUGGAACACAGGUGCUGCAUGGCUGUCGUCAGCUCGUGUCGUGAGAUGUUGGGUUAAGUCCCGCAACGAGCGCAACCCUUGUCGUUAAUUGCCAUCAUUUAGUUGGGCACUUUAACGAGACUGCCGGUGACAAACCGGAGGAAGGUGGGAUGACGUCAAGUCCUCAUGGCCCUUAUGGGUAGGGCUUCACACGUCAUACAAUGGUCGGUACAAAGGGUCGCCAACCCGCGAGGGGGAGCCAAUCCCAGAAAGCCGAUCGUAGUCCGGAUCGUAGGCUGCAACUCGCCUGCGUGAAGUCGGA